This 82-nucleotide transfer RNA is filed under the name Setaria italica (foxtail millet). It matches the Rfam family "tRNA". Rfam says of the family: Transfer RNA (tRNA) molecules are approximately 80 nucleotides in length. Lineage: Eukaryota; Viridiplantae; Streptophyta; Magnoliopsida; Poales; Poaceae. The record is from Rfam by way of RNAcentral. RNAcentral also lists the same sequence under 1 other name.
GUGGUCAUGCCGGAGUAGUUAUCGGGAAUGACUAGAAAUCAUGUGGGCUUUGCCCGCGCAGGUUUAAAUCCUUCCCACCACA